GUUUCCGUAGGUGAACCUGCAGAUGGAUCAUCGCCGAAACCUUAUGGGUAAUGCUUUGAUCACGAGAGAUCGGUACCAAUGGAAUCAGGCUUGUUCUUGAUUUCAAUCGGUUUCUCACCCCAUCUAAGCUCAUGGAGAGGUGUCUAGUCCCAAUUGGAGUCGCUUUGAGUGACGGCUAUGAAAAUUGGGUAUGUUCCCCGUGAGGGUCGAGCAUAGACUUUAUGAACAGUGCUGGAGCUGUCGCCUCACCAAAAAAUCAUCGAUAACUGGUGGCUAUGUGUGACAUUAGUCACAUAGGUAUCUGCUGAUGCAGAGAGCCUUAAUGAGUUGUUCGUGUCAUCUGACCUACAAUCGCCAGUAUCGGUAAAUCAACCCAAUUAACUUGUUUCUUGUGUCGUGUUAAUACAUACUGGCAAAGUGUAUUAGCUUUAGCGAUGGAUCGGUUGAUUCGCGUAUCGAUGAAAAACGCAGCAAGCUGCGUUAUUUACCACGAAUUGCAGACGCUUAGAGUGGUGAAGUUUUGAACGCACAGCGCCGUUGGGUUUUCCCUUCGGCACGUCUGGCUCAGGUUGUUUAAUAAGCGAAAGUGUUGAAAGUUCAUUAAACGAGAGUUCGGUGAUACUGACAACACUACGUCGAGCGGUGUACUGUUGAAAGUACCCCGUUCAAGUAUCUUUAUGGGGCAACAUGUCUUCUAUAUGGAGACAUGAAAGAUAUUAAGAGUAUAUACCUGUGGAUGCCCACGUAUGAAAUAUGACGUGUCGUAUACACGGCUAGGAGGUAUGUCUCAGAUGAAUUUGUUUAUGCAACCUGAGCUCAGUCGUGAUUACCCGCUGAACUUAAGCAUAU
This 849-nucleotide unclassified non-coding RNA is filed under the name Heterorhabditis bacteriophora. RNAcentral's name for it is "sequence contains 18S rRNA gene, ITS1, 5.8S rRNA gene, ITS2, 28S rRNA gene". The stretch from base 424 to 573 matches the Rfam family "5.8S ribosomal RNA". Lineage: Eukaryota; Metazoa; Nematoda; Chromadorea; Rhabditida; Heterorhabditidae. The record is from RNAcentral.